This is a non-coding RNA of Paramuricea clavata, 1294 nucleotides long. NCBI's taxonomy places the organism in Eukaryota, Metazoa, Cnidaria, Anthozoa, Malacalcyonacea, Plexauridae. The record is from the annotation of a GenBank genome assembly.
UAAACAUUGUUUAUUUGUUGUUUUGUGAUACAUUUUUAAAACUACUAAUGUUUUUCAAACUAGUAAAUCUUUUCAAAGCCCCCCCUUCUUCGUCUCUCUGUAUUUUUUUAAAGCCCCCCUUUCAGGUUUUAAAGAAUUUAAAUCCUCCCCAGUUACUCCUCAAUCCCCCCUGUACAAUAAAAAAUGAGCGGUCCCUUAGGUCUAAUUAGCCAUUCCGAAGUUGAUGAGAGGACUGGGGACGAGUGUUAAAAAGUGCCCAAAUUAAGAAAUAACCAAAUCACUAAAAAGACCACCUCAAAAUUAGUAAGUAUACAAAGUUUGAAGACUUUUACAUGAAUACCCUUCGAAUAACAAGCUUUCGAAAAUCGCGAUAUUUACUAUGAAAUGUAUUGUAAUUUGUGUUUUUGGGACGCGCGUCCCAACACAAUUUUCGAAAGCUUAUUAUUCGAAGGGUAUUCAUGUAAACGUAUUCAAACUUUGUAUACUUACUAAUUUUGAGGUCGUCUUUUUAGUGAUUUGGUUCAUUUCUUAAUUUGGGCACUUUUUAACACUCGUCCCCAGUCCACUCAUCAACUUCGGAAUAGAUAAUUAAUACAUGUAUAAAAUUCACGCUCGAAAUUUCCAUCGUUACAAUUAUCGUUAUCGAGUGUAGAUGCCCAUCGGCCACAUCCUGUUAUCAGGAAACACCAUUCAAAUAACUUACUUCAGUACAUUCUUUUAUCAUGCACGUUUUCUCUACCUGUAACUAUUAUACUAAUCACUGCAAUGUCACCGCUACAGCCGAGCUGUGCUCACCAGACACCCGCAAUUUGCCCACUGUCUUGGCAACAACUUCAAUUUUUUUAACUCCUUGUCUCUUUGCAACCGAUGGAACAUGUAAAGAUGAAGUUGUGGAUCCAUAUGGAUUGGGAGGCUAUGGUGGUUUUCCAGGAUUUCCAGGAAAAUAAAAACUGCCCAUGCAUGCAACAGACCUUGCGUGUAUAAAAUGCCAAGCACGUCGCAAGAUUAAUGGGACAUAUUCAUGGAAGUUUUAAAAUUAACAGUAUAACUGAUUAUCGUUUCAAUUCAGUAUGUACAUUUAAGGAGGACUGAAGUAGACAUAGGUAAAUUAUGCACAUGCGUAUAUGUGGAGAUUUUCAGUGUGAACAUUCAAUUGUGUAAAUUAUAUAAUCUGAAAAUAGUUUGGUAUUAAAAGGAUAGACUAAACGGAUUGUGUAUUUUUAUUUGAAAUAGAGUCGCCCGCAAGGUUUAUCUGAAUAUCUGCCACUCCCAUUAAGCCCCCCCCCCCCCCCCC